RNAcentral lists this long non-coding RNA (509 nucleotides) under Callithrix jacchus (white-tufted-ear marmoset). RNAcentral describes it as "lncRNA (ENSCJAG00000082987.1)". The record is from RNAcentral. Lineage: Eukaryota; Metazoa; Chordata; Mammalia; Primates; Cebidae.
CAGCCUUAAAAUCCUGCAGCCUCCUCCAUGAUUUGUAUGUUGAGAGAAAGGUAAUUUCCAAAAUGCUGAUAUGGAAAAGCACUUUUAUGCUUAUGCCCUGCUUCCAGGACUCAGCCAGGCAACUGGAGACCAGAGCACACGUAGGAUAACAGAGCUAAUGAGUGUCGACGUCAACAGCAAUAAGCAUUCCACCUAGGCCGGAACCCAGAGAUCACAUCACCAUCCCAUGCUUAAGUUUGAGCAUCAAGCCUGCACUCCCCAAGUGCCUUUGGAUAAGCACAUUGGCAUCCAAUGGCUAGCCCCAGAACUCGGUAAGUUUCCCCAGGCCCUUGUCCCUUCCUGAUUCUGGCUUUCUCAGCCAAAGCAUGUUAUAAGAACUUCCAGAAUAACUGUACAGACUAAACACUGCUUACCAAAAUUACCAUACAUCAGGAAUAUUCAGCCAAAAAAAAAACGUGUAACAUUUCUCAGUCAUUCCACAUCUAAACAGAAAAUAAAAUCUUGUAGAG